This 324-nucleotide ribosomal RNA is filed under the name uncultured eukaryote. RNAcentral's name for it is "partial 18S ribosomal RNA". It matches the Rfam family "Eukaryotic small subunit ribosomal RNA", at positions 1470 to 1796 of the family's 1831-position model. The record is from RNAcentral.
CCCUUAGAUGUUCUGGACCGCACGCGCGCUACAAUGAUGCAUUCAACGAGUUUCUUCCUGGUCCGAGAGGAAUGGGUAACCUUUUGAAAGUGCAUCGUGAUAGGGAUAGACUAUUGCAAUUAUUGGUCUUCAACGAGGAAUUCCUAGUAGACGUAGUUCAUCAGACUGCAUCGAUUACGUCCCUGCCCUUUGUACACACCGCCCGUCGCUCCUACCGAUUGAAUGCUCAGGUGAGCCAUUCGGACUUUCAUCAUGCUGGUUUCCAGUUUUGAUGAAGGAAAGCCUUGCGAACCUUAUCAUUUAGAGGAAGGAGAAGUCGUAACA